AGAGUUUGAUCAUGGCUCAGGGUUAACGCUGGCGGCGUGCCUAACACAUGCAAGUCGAACGGUUCUAAGCGCGAGCUUAGGAUAGUGGCGAACGGGUGAGUAAAAGGUAGGAAUCUACCCCUUGGACGGAGAUAGCUACUGGAAACGGUAGGUAAACUUCGAUAAGCCCGAGAGGGGAAAGUGGUGAGACAGCCGAGGGAUGAGCCUACUCUCCAUCAGGUAGUUGGUGAGAUAAAAGCUUACCAAGCCGAUGACGGAUAACCGGUGUGAGAGCAUGAACGGUCACAAGGGCACUGAGAGACGGGCCCUACUCCUACGGGAGGCAGCAGUGGGGAAUCUUGGACAAUGGGCGAAAGCCUGAUGCAGCGACGCCGCGUGGAGGAUGAAGGCCUUCGGGUCGUAAACUCCUGUCUGGGGGGAUGAACACUGACAGUACCCCCGGAGGAAGCCCCGGCUAACUACGUGCCAGCAGCCGCGGUAAU
This 482-nucleotide ribosomal RNA is filed under the name uncultured bacterium. RNAcentral's name for it is "bacterial SSU rRNA". It matches the Rfam family "Bacterial small subunit ribosomal RNA", at positions 8 to 524 of the family's 1533-position model. The record is from RNAcentral.